AUACGUAGGGGACAAGCGUUAUCCGGAUUUACUGGGUGUAAAGGGAGCGUAGGCGGCCAGCCAAGUCAGAAGUGAAAUCCCACGGCUCAACUGUGGGCGUGCUUUUGAAACUGGAGGGCUUGAGUACUGGAGGGGCAAGCGGAAUUCCUGGUGUAGCGGUGAAAUGCAUAGAUAUCAGGAAGAACACCGGAGGCGAAGGCGGCUUGCUGGACAGAGACUGACGCUGAGGCUCGAAGGCGUGGGGAGCAAACAGGAUUAGAUACCCUGGUAGUCCACGCGGUAAACGAUGAAUGCUAGGUAUUGGAUUCCGUAGGGAUUCGGUGCCGCAGUUAACGCAAUAAGCAUUCCACCUGGGGAGUACGUUCGCAAGAAUGAAACUCAAAUGAAUUGACGGGG
Molecule: ribosomal RNA, 396 nt
Filed under: uncultured bacterium
Lineage: Bacteria
Description: partial 16S ribosomal RNA
Rfam family: Bacterial small subunit ribosomal RNA
Source: RNAcentral